GAUGAACGCUGGCGGCGUGCCUAAUACAUGCAAGUCGAGCGAACAGACGAGGAGCUUGCUCCUCUGACGUUAGCGGCGGGCGGGUGAGUAACACGUGGAUAACCUACCUAUAAGACUGGGAUAACUUCGGGAAACCGGAGCUAAUACCGGAUAACAUGUUGAACCGCAUGGUUCAACAGUGAAAGACGGUCUUGCUGUCACUUAUAGAUGGAUCCGCGCCGCAUUAGCUAGUUGGUAAGGUAACGGCUUACCAAGGCAACGAUGCGUAGCCGACCUGAGAGGGUGAUCGGCCACACUGGAACUGAGACACGGUCCAGACUCCUACGGGAGGCAGCAGUAGGGAAUCUUCCGCAAUGGGCGAAAUCCUGACGGAGCAACGCCGCGUGAGUGAAGAAGGUCUUCGGAUCGUAAAACUCUGUUAUUAGGGAAGAACAAAUGUGUAAGUAACUAUGCACGUCUUGACGGUACCUAAUCAGAAAGCCACGGCUAACUACGUG
This 497-nucleotide ribosomal RNA is filed under the name uncultured bacterium. RNAcentral's name for it is "partial 16S ribosomal RNA". It matches the Rfam family "Bacterial small subunit ribosomal RNA", at positions 28 to 507 of the family's 1533-position model. The record is from RNAcentral.